Apodemus sylvaticus (European woodmouse) is the source of this 1694-nucleotide long non-coding RNA. RefSeq lists it as uncharacterized. The transcript is spliced from 2 exons. The record is from RefSeq and is a predicted model, not a curated record. Lineage: Eukaryota; Metazoa; Chordata; Mammalia; Rodentia; Muridae.
GACCCCGUGCGACAACUUUCCUGCAAGGACUCACCUUAAACGUGAAGUUUUGAAAGUGGACUAGAUGCUGUGGGUUCUUCCUUCCUUGGCAAACAAUAUCUAUCUACAAAGCUGCCCUUAACAUUUACCACCUUUGAGCUUCUUCUGGUAUAGGAACUACUAAAUGUAGCAGAAAUACAGAUCCUGAGUUCCACCCAAGGCUUACUGCAUAAGAAGCUACAUGUGAACAAGUGGACCAGGUAAUGUGUGUUCCUGGAUAUCCAGGACUAUUCCCUGUUCUACGCUGCCCAGGAGAAAAGGGACCCUGUUGGACCUGGCGUUCCAUGGCAUGACUGUUUCUACCAAGUGGCCUCAAGAGGCUCUGUAGGAUUCAGCCACCGCAGGUACUUACCCACUCUUCCCAGGCACCAUUAGGAUUCUGGCUGAUGAUGGGUUCCAGACGCUGCAUGAGGAUCUGACAGGCAUUCUGUGGGAUGGAGGGGACAAUAAAGCAACUGAGAAUUAAAGGGCACCUUCCAGACAUGAUCCUGCUGUCCUACCACCUGUCCCUGCACCCCCUGCCUCCCUCAGAUGUCAUCAUGUGAUUUGUCUCCAAAUUUGUGUCCUCAUGUGAUCUGGCCAGGACCCUGGUCAUCCCCUGUAGUAAUGAUGCUGAUGUGGAGUUUUGGGGUCCACCACAGAAGCUGAGAGGGAAUUCAGAAGGAUGCAAACCCUUUCUCUCAGUGUAGCCACAGCAACUAAUUGAUUAUUUGAGUUUGUUUCUGUGUCAACAUUUCAUUUGAGGUUUGUCAAAUAUUGAGCAAAGAUAUGAAACCACUACCCAGGGAAAUGGGCACAAAAGUGACUCCAGAUCAGCUGCUGGGUCACACAGAAAGGCAACCUGGGGUGCUGUGAAAUGAGUUUAGAGUUUGAACAUCUUUUGCUCUCCAUAGCCUGGGACCUCAUUUAUGACCUGAAGAUAUCAGCAAUGAACAACCACAUCUUUUCACUUUUCCCAGGCCAAGUCCCACCUGCUCUUGCCAAAUUGUAUAGUGACUACUGACUCCCUUUGACCUGCUUUGGCUUGGAUGCUGUUGACGUUCUAAUGUUGACGUUCAACCUCAGAUGGUUGUUUCAGAUUAGAUUGCCAUAGUACGGGCUGCUAUCUCAGGGGCUUUAGUUCAGAGACAAUCAUCAAAGUGUAUGGACACGGAAUUUGGGAAUCUAGCAGCUACCGAGUCAUGGCUACCAAGAUCUGCUGAACCAACCAGACACAAGGGCCAUUGUCUCAACAAGGCUGCUCCGUCUCACCUAGAGGGAAGUGUGUGGUAGUUUUAUUCGUGUGUGUGUGUGUGUGUGUGUGUGUGUGUAUGUGUGUUGGGAUCAGUUUAAGCAGCGCUUUUGAACUUCAUAUUCCUCUGCAUGGAAAGAGACAUGAAGGUAAAGAAUGGAGUCAAUUUGCAUUUGAAGCAUUCAAGGAGGAGACCUGCUUGCUCUGACUUAGGACUCAAGACUCUGCAUCUCAUGUGGGACUUCUCCUCAAGCCCCUGACUUCUACAGACACCCAUAACAGGCUGAGAGCAGUGGGUCAUGUUCUGUUUUGUACUCCAGAUGACUCUUUAGCCAGAGGCGUUCUCACCUGCCUUUGUGAUGUUAGUGUCUUAGCAUGUUCUUGAAAUAUAUGAAGCAAAUAUAGACUUUAUACUGCUAGGUAA